GAAAAAGUAUGCAAGAACUGCUAACUCUAUGCCUCCAUGUUUAACAGCAUGGCUUUUUCA
This 60-nucleotide transfer RNA is filed under the name Procapra picticaudata (Tibetan gazelle). RNAcentral's name for it is "tRNA-Ser". The record is from RNAcentral. Lineage: Eukaryota; Metazoa; Chordata; Mammalia; Artiodactyla; Bovidae. RNAcentral also lists the same sequence under 1 other name.